AUACAGGGGGUGCGAGCGUUAAUCGGAAUUACUGGGCGUAACGAGUACGUAGGCGGUUGCUUAAGUCAGAUGUGAAAGACCCGGGCUUAACCUGGGAACUGCAUUUGAAACUGAGUGACUCGAGUUUAAGAGAGGGGAGUAGAAUUCCGGGUGUAGCGGUGAAAUGCGUAGAGAUCCGGAGGAAUACCAGUGGCGAAGGCGGCUCCCUGGCUUAAAACUGACGCUGAGGUACGAAAGCGUGGGUAGCAAACAGGAUUAGAAACCCCAGUAGUCC
RNAcentral lists this ribosomal RNA (274 nucleotides) under uncultured bacterium. Its description in RNAcentral is "partial 16S ribosomal RNA". It matches the Rfam family "Bacterial small subunit ribosomal RNA", at positions 523 to 796 of the family's 1533-position model. The record is from RNAcentral.